Molecule: ribosomal RNA, 253 nt
Filed under: uncultured bacterium
Lineage: Bacteria
Description: partial 16S ribosomal RNA
Rfam family: Bacterial small subunit ribosomal RNA
Source: RNAcentral
UACUACGGGGGCUAGCGUUGCUCGGGAUCACUGGGCGUAAAGCGCACGUAGGCGGAUUCCUAAGUCGGGGGUGAAAUCCUGGAGCUCAACUCCAGAACUGCCUUCGAUACUGGGAAUCUUGAGUCCGGAAGAGGUGAGUGGAACUGCGAGUGUAGAGGUGAAAUUCGUAGAUAUUCGCAAGAACACCAGUGGCGAAGGCGGCUCACUGGUCCGGUACUGACGCUGAGGUGCGAAAGCGUGGGGAGCAAACAGG